Molecule: ribosomal RNA, 495 nt
Filed under: uncultured bacterium
Lineage: Bacteria
Description: partial 16S ribosomal RNA
Rfam family: Bacterial small subunit ribosomal RNA
Source: RNAcentral
GACGAACGCUGGCGGCGUGCCUAAUACAUGCAAGUAGAACGCUGAAGGAGGAGCUUGCUCUUCUGGAUGAGUUGCGAACGGGUGAGUAACGCGUAGGUAACCUGCCUGGUAGCGGGGGAUAACUAUUGGAAACGAUAGCUAAUACCGCAUAACAGUAGAUGUUGCAUGACAUUUACUUAAAAGGUGCAAUUGCAUCACUACCAGAUGGACCUGCGUUGUAUUAGCUAGUUGGUGGGGUAACGGCUCACCAAGGCGACGAUACAUAGCCGACCUGAGAGGGUGAUCGGCCACACUGGGACUGAGACACGGCCCAGACUCCUACGGGAGGCAGCAGUAGGGAAUCUUCGGCAAGGGACGGAAGUCUGACCGAGCAACGCCGCGUGAGUGAAGAAGGUUGUCGGAUCGUAAAGCUCUGUUGUAAGAGAAGAACGAGUGUGAGAGUGGAAAGUUCACACUGUGACGGUAUCUUACCAGAAAGGGACGGCUAACUACGUG